GAAUGAUGACUAAUGCUUUGAGGAAACAGCAGACGUCAGACAGCAAGCCCAGAAAAACCUGCCAGCACCAAGAGGGUGUCCUCAACAGGCGCCUGGGGGACAUAUUAUUCUAACUAAAGAGACCAGAGCUUCCCCAGGAAGGGAAGAGGAGAGAAAUGAAGAACGUCUGUGUUCAUGUUUGCCAAAAACAAAAGUCUGAGAAAUCUCUGAGAGACUCUACAUGGGAGCAUCAAGCACAAAUGAUGAUCUCCUAGGACAGUGGCAGCUUCUGAGAAUGCACAGGAAAGUGACCAGGGAAAGAAUGAUUCCAUCUCCAGGAAUCCCUGGUGAUCUUCAGAGCCCAGACAGGACCCUGCUGGGCCAUGGUAACUGAGAAACUGAGAAGCAGAUACAGUGGUCCCUAUGUUGGCAACCUCAG
Molecule: long non-coding RNA, 418 nt
Filed under: Homo sapiens (human)
Lineage: Eukaryota; Metazoa; Chordata; Mammalia; Primates; Hominidae
Description: HSALNT0186653
Source: RNAcentral